CCUACGGGGGACAGCAGUGAGGAAUAUUGGUCAAUGGGCGAGAGCCUGAACCAGCCAAGUCGCGUGAGGGAAGACGGUCCUAUGGAUUGUAAACUUCUUUUAUAGGGGAAUAAAGGUAUCCACGUGUGGAUAUUUGCAUGUACCCUAUGAAUAAGCAUCGGCUAACUCCGUGCCAGCAGCCGCGGUAAUACGGAGGAUGCGAGCGUUAUCCGGAUUUAUUGGGUUUAAAGGGUGCGUAGGUUGUUUUUUAAGUCAGCGGUGAAAGUUUGUGGCUCAACCAUAAAAUUGCCGUUGAAACUGGAAGACUGGAGAGUGUUUGAGGUAGGCGGAAUGCGUGGUGUAGCGGUGAAAUGCAUAGAUAUCACGCAGAACUCCGAUUGCGAAGGCAGCUUACUAAGCCAUAACUGACACUGAAGCACGAAAGCGUGGGGAUCAAACAGGAUUAGAUACCCCAGUAGUC
This 460-nucleotide ribosomal RNA is filed under the name uncultured bacterium. RNAcentral's name for it is "partial 16S ribosomal RNA". It matches the Rfam family "Bacterial small subunit ribosomal RNA", at positions 338 to 795 of the family's 1533-position model. The record is from RNAcentral.